GGAUGUGAGGGCGAUCUGUCUGCAACAUCUGUCACCCCAUUGAUCUCCAGGGUUGAUUCAGCUGAUCUGGCUGGCUAGGCAGGUGUCCGCUUCCUCCCUCACCGCUCCAUGUGCGUCCCUCCGAAGCUGCACGUUAGGUCGAAGAGGAUGGCCUUCCCUGAAUAGAGACAGACCGGUCUUUGGUCUAGGGUAUAUGAGUAGCUGCACUCCCCUGCUAGAACCUCCAAACAAGUUCUCAAGAAUCCCGGUUCGAGCCCCCGGCUCCGCACCUGCAGGGGAGUUUCUUCACAAGUGGUAAAGCAGGUCUGCAGGUGUC
Molecule: small nuclear RNA, 316 nt
Filed under: Erinaceus europaeus (western European hedgehog)
Lineage: Eukaryota; Metazoa; Chordata; Mammalia; Eulipotyphla; Erinaceidae
Description: 7SK RNA
Rfam family: 7SK RNA
About the family: 7SK was discovered as an abundant small nuclear RNA in the mid-70s but a possible function has only recently been suggested. Two independent studies have found that 7SK RNA binds the CDK9/cyclin T complex (known as elongation factor P-TEFb).
Source: Rfam by way of RNAcentral